Long non-coding RNA from Arachis ipaensis, 1744 nucleotides. RefSeq lists it as uncharacterized. Lineage: Eukaryota; Viridiplantae; Streptophyta; Magnoliopsida; Fabales; Fabaceae. The record is from RefSeq and is a predicted model, not a curated record.
CGGAGGCUGGAGCACACCAUGACGGUAUCCCAACGUUUCAAAAAUACAGACAGAUUAAUAUCAUAUUCAUAUUAGUUAGCUCAUAACUGCGAAAGAGCAGAGAAUUGAAGAAGCCGCGGAGGAAGAUACAGAGGAGAGCCCACUGCAUUUCUAUGUUGCUAUCUCCGUCCCCACCCUUCCAAAUCGCAACCGCAAACUCCACUCUCGCUCUCUCACUACUAUUUACUUAAUGGUCCAGGAACUAGACUGUAUAGGAUGCAGAAGAUGCUGAUGGAAGAUAUUGGUUUGGAGCAAGCAUGCACUCAAUUAACUUGGUUAUUUUUGUCCUCCAAUCCAAUCAGACCCGAAACAUCAAUGAGGUUGAUUGAGGAUGCAAGAAUGUCUUCCACUCCAAUGGUCUUCAUUCUUUCUUUUCUUUAUUAUCAUUAUCAUUUUUGGCAGCAUGUUACUUUUAUAGUAUUUUGUAGUAAUGCACCCAAGUUUGAUCUCAACGAAGUUCAAUUGGAUGACUCAGCAAGUAACUCAAGUGAUAAUUUAGAGACCUGCCACUCCACAGCUAGAUCAUUACAUAUUUUUGGCAUAUACUUUGACAUUUCCCCAGGGUUCCACACAGAAGAAGCAAAACAGCAAGUCACUAAGUGAUGCUUCCAAACCCCUUCAGUGGGAUGAUACUGUAAAUUCUGUUGUGGUUAAUUCCAAAAGUGUUGGAGAGGUUACUAAUCCCAAAUUUAAUGGAAAGAAUGUAGGUGAAGCAGGCCUAUUUAGUAGUAAGUGUGUUUCCAGGACUAACGUAGACCCACAUAAAGAUCUUUGCUAUUGCACAAGUGACUUGGAGAACAAGGAUACUGGAUCCACUUGGAAGCCAUUUGUUGGUCAUUUUUCUAUUCUGAUUUUACAGAUACUAUAUUGGUAAACUGUGAGAAUACCAAAGAUAAUGAAAUUUCUUGUGCUUGUCAAAGUCAUGGAGAAGAAAAAUAUGUAGAUAGCAAUGCUUUUUGUGAAUCGUUCUGACAGCUUGAAGGAUAGACAAUUUGGGAGAAACAAAUCUCAAUGCUCCUGGCCAGAAUUUAGGCACUGAUGAGAUGGUAGUAGAACUUCCUGAAGCGUCUAUGUGCAUCCAAAACAGAAUGCAUUAAGGUUGACAAGGAGGAGAUUGUUAAGGUACAGUGUACUGAUUCUUAUGAACAAAUUGCUUUAGAGCUUGAAGAAUGCAAUGAUGAUGACUGCUCUUCCGCAUCAUCAAAGCCAUAUGAAGUGGACAGAGCAAAGACAAAUGGUUUUAGUCUUAGAUUAAAACCGGGAAGGAGAUUCAAGGAUUUCCAGAAGGAGAUACUUCCUGGCCUUGCAUCUCUUUCUAGACAUGAAAUUCAAGAAGAUAUAAACAUCUUGGAGGCAGUAUUAAGAUCAAGGGAAUACCGGAAGAUCAGAUCCAGAAUGGGUGAUCACAGAAGCCAGUGUGCGCCUACAAGAAGAGUUAGGUCCAAACGCAAUUCUUCAUGGCGGAAAUUGUUUUAGCAAGGUUCAUCCAAGUGCUUGUAUCAUUGAAACUUGAUUGUUUCUAUUCUUUUAUGGACAUGUUAAAGUGGAAUAUGUCAACGAUAAAAAUUGUUUCUGUAGAGUUUACUUCACGAAAACUUAGAAUGUUCAUAUUACUUAAAAACUGUUUCUCUAGAGGUUACUCGUAGUUGUUAAUUUGGUUUGAAUGAUGAUAGUUAAUUAAAAAUGUGGUAAUUCCAAGUUCCAA